RNAcentral lists this ribosomal RNA (442 nucleotides) under uncultured bacterium. Its description in RNAcentral is "partial 16S ribosomal RNA". It matches the Rfam family "Bacterial small subunit ribosomal RNA", at positions 338 to 795 of the family's 1533-position model. The record is from RNAcentral.
CCUACGGGAGGCAGCAGUGGGGGAUAUUGCACAAUGGGGGAAACCCUGAUGCAGCGACGCCGCGUGGGCGAAGAAGUAUUUCGGUAUGUAAAGCUCUAUCAGCAGGGAAGAAGAAAUGACGGUACCUGAGUAAGAAGCACCGGCUAAAUACGUGCCAGCAGCCGCCGUAAUACGUAUGGUGCAAGCGUUAUCCGGAUUUACUGGGUGUAAAGGGAGCGCAGGCGGCACGGCAAGCCUGAUGUGAAAGCCCGGGGCCCAACCGCGGGCCAGCAUUGGGAACUGCCGGGCUGGAGUGCCGGAGAGGUAGGCGGAAUUCCUAGUGUAGCGGUGAAAUGCGUAGAUAUUAGGAGGAACACCAGUGGCGAAGGCGGCCUACUGGACGGUGACUGACGCUGAGGCUCGAAAGCGUGGGGAGCAAACAGGAUUAGAUACCCUUGUAGUC